RNAcentral lists this ribosomal RNA (253 nucleotides) under uncultured bacterium. Its description in RNAcentral is "partial 16S ribosomal RNA". It matches the Rfam family "Bacterial small subunit ribosomal RNA", at positions 524 to 776 of the family's 1533-position model. The record is from RNAcentral.
UACGUAGGGGGCAGGCGUUGUCCGGAUUUAUUGGGCGUAAAGAGCGUGUAGGCGGCUUUACAGGUCCGUUGUGAAAACUCGAGGCUCAACCUCGAGACGCCGGUGGAAACCGUAAGGCUAGAGUCCGGAAGAGGAGAGUGGAAUUCCUGGUGUAGCGGUGAAAUGCGCAGAUAUCAGGAGGAACACCCGUGGCGAAAGCGGCUCUCUGGGACGGUACUGACGCUGAGACGCGAAAGCGUGGGGAGCAAACAGG